Molecule: ribosomal RNA, 681 nt
Filed under: uncultured Lachnospiraceae bacterium
Lineage: Bacteria; Bacillati; Bacillota; Clostridia; Lachnospirales; Lachnospiraceae
Description: bacterial SSU rRNA
Rfam family: Bacterial small subunit ribosomal RNA
Source: RNAcentral
CACAUGCAAGUCGAGCGAAGCACUUUUGCGGAUUUCUUCGGAUUGAAGCAAUUGUGACUGAGCGGCGGACGGGUGAGUAACGCGUGGGUAACCUGCCUCAUACAGGGGGAUAACAGUUGGAAACGGCUGCUAAUACCGCAUAAGCGCACAGUACCGCAUGGUACCGUGUGAAAAACUCCGGUGGUAUGAGAUGGACCCGCGUCUGAUUAGGUAGUUGGUGGGGUAACGGCCUACCAAGCCGACGAUCAGUAGCCGACCUGAGAGGGUGACCGGCCACAUUGGGACUGAGACACGGCCCAAACUCCUACGGGAGGCAGCAGUGGGGAAUAUUGCACAAUGGGGGAAACCCUGAUGCAGCGACGCCGCGUGAGCGAUGAAGUAUUUCGGUAUGUAAAGCUCUAUCAGCAGGGAAGAAAAUGACGGUACCUGACUAAGAAGCCCCGGCUAACUACGUGCCAGCAGCCGCGGUAAUACGUAGGGGGCAAGCGUUAUCCGGAUUUACUGGGUGUAAAGGGAGCGUAGACGGCAUGGCAAGCCAGAUGUGAAAGCCCGGGGCUCAACCCCGGGACUGCAUUUGGAACUGUCAGGCUAGAGUGUCGGAGAGGAAAGCGGAAUUCCUAGUGUAGCGGUGAAAUGCGUAGAUAUUAGGAGGAACACCAGUGGCGAAGGCGGCUUUCUGGA